GACGAACGCUGGCGGCGUGCUUAACACAUGCAAGUCGAACGGAAAGGCCCUGCUUUUGCGGGGUGCUCGAGUGGCGAACGGGUGAGUAACACGUGAGUAACCUGCCCUUGACUUUGGGAUAACUUCAGGAAACUGGGGCUAAUACCGGAUAGGAGCUCCUGCUGCAUGGUGGGGGUUGGAAAGUUUCGGCGGUUGGGGAUGGACUCGCGGCUUAUCAGCUUGUUGGUGGGGUAGUGGCUUACCAAGGCUUUGACGGGUAGCCGGCCUGAGAGGGUGACCGGCCACAUUGGGACUGCGAUACGGCCCAGACUCCUACGGGAGGCAGCAGUGGGGAAUAUUGCACAAUGGGCGGAAGCCUGAUGCAGCAACGCCGCGUGCGGGAUGACGGCCUUCGGGUUGUAAACCGCUUUCGCCUGUGACGAAGCGUGAGUGACGGUAAUGGGUAAAGAAGCACCGGCUAACUACGUG
This 468-nucleotide ribosomal RNA is filed under the name uncultured bacterium. RNAcentral's name for it is "partial 16S ribosomal RNA". It matches the Rfam family "Bacterial small subunit ribosomal RNA", at positions 28 to 507 of the family's 1533-position model. The record is from RNAcentral.